AUCAACAUAGAGUGAUUUUUGGAACAAGAAGACUAUUCAUUCUUGCAAGGCACAAUUCUAGCAAGUUGAAGAACUAAGUGGAAAAGAUUUUGGAAAGGCCAAGAGUUAGGUGGGGUGACUAAGGAAGCGGACAAGGUACACCCAGACAAGUAGAAGUUACCAUAGAAGAUGUUGCAGCAGGG
Solanum dulcamara is the source of this 182-nucleotide long non-coding RNA. RefSeq lists it as uncharacterized. NCBI's taxonomy places the organism in Eukaryota, Viridiplantae, Streptophyta, Magnoliopsida, Solanales, Solanaceae. The record is from RefSeq and is a predicted model, not a curated record. The transcript is spliced from 3 exons.